GAUGAAGAACGUAGCGAAAUGCGAUAAGUAAUGUGAAUUGCAGAAUUCAGUGAAUCAUCGAAUCUUUGAACGCACAUUGCGCCCGCCAGUAUUCUGGCGGGCAUGCCUGUUCGAGCGUCAUUUCAACCAUCAAGCCCCAGGCUUGUGUUGGGGACCUGCGGCUGCCGCAGGCCCUGAAAACCAGUGGCGGGCUCGCUGUCACACCGGGCGUAGUAGCACAUCUCGCUCAGGGCGUGCGGCGGGCUCCUGCCGUGAAACCCCCCACUGUAACCCCAAAGGUUGACCUCGGAUCAGGUAGGAAUACCCGCUGAACUUAAGCAUAUCAAUAAGCGGAGGA
Molecule: unclassified non-coding RNA, 337 nt
Filed under: soil metagenome
Description: partial contains 5.8S ribosomal RNA, internal transcribed spacer 2, and large subunit ribosomal RNA
Rfam family: 5.8S ribosomal RNA (bases 1-120)
Source: RNAcentral